CACAGACCGCCAUUCUUACAGGGAGGACUGCAGACAGCUGGAAGAGGAAAAAUAAAUCAAGUCAAAUCAAAUUUCAAAUUCAGCCUUUAAACCAUGAGGACACUCGCAAAUAUUCGCCCGAACACACGAACCUCCGUUCAGACACACGGGAGAACAGACGGCUGGAGAGACAAACGAGAGCAUCGGCGUUGAGAGGACACUCGCACCUGUACCCGCUGGCUGUGUUAAUGCACUUGCCGACUGUGCACGGAGCUGACAAACAUUCGUCUACAUCCUCGUCGCAGAGGUGGCCCUGCUUACCCUCGGGACAUACACACAGGUGCUCUGGGCGUUGCACUCGUCUGACAGCGUGAAGCGGAAGGAGCGCCUCGAUUGACGUCCCUCCUCCUCCUCAGGAAACGAUGG
Long non-coding RNA from Dicentrarchus labrax (European seabass), 405 nucleotides. RefSeq lists it as uncharacterized. The record is from RefSeq and is a predicted model, not a curated record. The transcript is spliced from 4 exons. NCBI's taxonomy places the organism in Eukaryota, Metazoa, Chordata, Actinopteri, Moronidae.